AUAUGGAAUGGUGAGGUGUCACCCAACCUCUUUGAAGAAAUUGACAAGGAUGGCAACGGAGAAGUCCUCCUGGAAGAGGUAACUAACUGGCCUCUGUAGGAAGGUGGGACCGAAGAGCUCAGGGAGCCUGGUGAGGCCGUGGGGCCGGUUCUGAAGUUCUCAGAGUACAUUCACGCCCAGGUGGCAUCUGGCAAAGGGAAACUCGCUCCUGGCUUUGAUGCUGAGCUGAUUGUGAAGAAUAUGUUCACCAACCAGGACCGGAAUGGAGAUGGGAAGGUCACAGCCGAGGAAUUUAAACUCAAAGACCAGGAAGCCAAACACGAUGAACUCUAAACCUGGCAUGAAGCAGAUGGUGCCAGGGAGUACGUGACACCAAGCCACCUGUGUGGCAGAACGUGCAGUGAGGGUGCAAGGGUCUUUCAGAAGUUGCAUCAUUAGCCAGUAGUAGGUGGGUCACAUAGUACCUGGUGUACACAUCGGGGUGGGUUGAUAGACGGGGUGAGAAGUUUAGGCUGAUCGCCAGUGAUAGUAAACAAAAUCUGUGCAGAGGACCUUAGCAUGGGAUGUGUCCAGUAUUGAAAAGGCUGCACU
RNAcentral lists this small RNA (591 nucleotides) under Pan troglodytes (chimpanzee). RNAcentral's name for it is "processed transcript". The record is from RNAcentral. Lineage: Eukaryota; Metazoa; Chordata; Mammalia; Primates; Hominidae.